RNAcentral lists this unclassified non-coding RNA (253 nucleotides) under uncultured Caryophanales bacterium. RNAcentral's name for it is "uncultured Bacillales bacterium contains 16S-23S intergenic spacer region". It matches the Rfam family "Bacterial small subunit ribosomal RNA", at positions 524 to 776 of the family's 1533-position model. Lineage: Bacteria; Bacillati; Bacillota; Bacilli; Caryophanales. The record is from RNAcentral.
UACGGAGGGUGCGAGCGUUAAUCGGAAUUAUUGGGCGUAAAGCGCUCGCAGGCGGUCCUUUAAGUCUGAUGUGAAAUCUCGCGGCUCAACCGCGAAAGGUCAUUGGAAACUGGGAGGCUUGAGUAUAGGAGAGAAGAGUGGAAUUCCACGUGUAGCGGUGAAAUGCGUAGAGAUAUGGAGGAACACCAGUGGCGAAGGCGGCUCUCUGGUCUGCAACUGACGCUGAGGUGCGAAAGCGUGGGGAUCAAACAGG